CAGUAUUUUAGAUAGGGCUUCUUUUUGAAGGAAAGAGCCUGAAUGAAUGCAAAUAGAAGUCAACUAAUAUUGUUUGAAGUAACCGACUGUUCCUAGCGUAAGUGGCAAAGGAGUUGGUGGUUGGUAUCCGUGGUCCCAAGUUCGAAUUCUAGUUGAUUCAUAUUUUCAGCUAAGUUUAUUUCUAAAUAAAAUAAACAAAAUAAUUAGCACGCUACCUAUCUCUCAAAAAAAAACAUUGUUUGAAGUAUAAAAUAGUAUACUGAAAUCUUAAUGUAAUGCAAUGCGUAAACGAGAA
RNAcentral lists this long non-coding RNA (295 nucleotides) under Ananas comosus (pineapple). RNAcentral describes it as "long non-coding RNA (ACOM_LNC011518)". Lineage: Eukaryota; Viridiplantae; Streptophyta; Magnoliopsida; Poales; Bromeliaceae. The record is from RNAcentral.